Molecule: non-coding RNA, 148 nt
Filed under: Homo sapiens (human)
Lineage: Eukaryota; Metazoa; Chordata; Mammalia; Primates; Hominidae
Source: Rfam by way of RNAcentral
GCUGGGAGUGGUGGCGCACGCCUGUAGUCCUAGCUACUUGGGAGGCCGAGGCAGAAGAAUCGCUUGAACCCGGGAGGCAGAGGUUGCAGUGAGCCGAGAUCACGCCACUGCACUCCAGCCUGGGCAACAGAGCGAGACUCCGUCUCAA